GGUGCUAUAGUGUAGUGGUUAUCACUCGGGAUUUUGAUCUGAAAAAAUAACUCCGGUAGAGAUUCCCGAAACCCAGGUUCGAGCCCUGGUAGCACCU
RNAcentral lists this transfer RNA (97 nucleotides) under Laccaria bicolor S238N-H82. It matches the Rfam family "tRNA". From Rfam's summary of the family: Transfer RNA (tRNA) molecules are approximately 80 nucleotides in length. Lineage: Eukaryota; Fungi; Basidiomycota; Agaricomycetes; Agaricales; Hydnangiaceae. The record is from Rfam by way of RNAcentral.